Neogale vison (American mink) is the source of this 1064-nucleotide long non-coding RNA. RefSeq lists it as uncharacterized. Lineage: Eukaryota; Metazoa; Chordata; Mammalia; Carnivora; Mustelidae. The record is from RefSeq and is a predicted model, not a curated record. The transcript is spliced from 3 exons.
GGCCGGUGUUGGAGGCGGUGGCCCGUGGGCCUCGGGUGGCGGCUCGUCCGGGGGCCGUCGGUUCCGCGGCGGUCAAGCAGCGGCCAGGAAGGAGGGCGAUGCCCGGGCCACGGACGGGAGCCAGAGGAGCCGCUCGCCGGCAUCCCGAACCAGGGGGAGAGCUCAGCAGGGUACAAGCAGGCGAGACGUGGGCAGGCUGCUCGGGGAGAGGCUCACCGAUUUCAAGGUAAAAAAAAAAAAAAAAAAGUAAGACACUAUGCAUUUAUUUUCUAAAACGUUUGCAGAAUGUCAGGGCGUUCAGAAGCGAUCACGUUUGUGCAGCAGGUGGAGCUGCCGGGGCUGUCACAGGAGGUGUCAGCGGACACUGUUCCCGAUUCCAGAGAGUGCAGGCGGGUGAAGGCAGAGAAGUGGGGCCCAGGGGUGGUUUGCAGGGGCACCCCCCCCCCCGUCGCUGCUGUGGCCUGGGCAAGGACAGGGCGCACCCCAGUUUGGAUGCCCCAGACCUGUCCACGCAGCCCUGCCUGUGCCUUGUGUAGCAAGCAAAGGGUGAGCAGGCUUCCCCUGCACCCUCGUGUCCUGAUUCUUAACCCCCAGCCAUUGUGUUCAGGGGGACGAAAGUCUCUGCAGAGUUUUCUAACUGCCAGAGCCCGUGAUUCUAAUUUUUUUUUCCCUUUAAGACGGACUUAUUUUAGAGCACAAGCCUGGGGCAGGGGCUGGGAGGAAGAGCAGGGAGAGUCUGAAGCAGAGUCCGCACUCAGCCGGGAGCCUGACCUCGCGGCCAGAGCUAAAAUGUAGUCGGACCCUCGACCGAUGCCCCUGGCGUCCCGGUUCGAAACUGCUUUUUGUGCCGUAUUUGGAUUAUCCACUGCCCACCCCGCAGGGGAGAAAAAUCUAGGUGGGGAAGAAAGCUAUUAUUUAACAUAAGUAGGAUGAGGUUUAGGAAUUAAUACUAACAAGACAGGUAUUACAGUUGAAAUUUUGAAAUAUGUUUUUCAGUAAAAGUGUUUCUUUUUUGGCAAAACUUGAGAACAAAUUGGUCUUAAAUAAACCAUCUUAACACUUGG